UUAAUACCUUAUAUAUAAUAUUUUUUUUUAAAUAUUAUUAUGUAAGAUUAACAUAAUUCAUAUUUUUUAAGACUGAAUUUUUAGUUUUGAUAAUAUGAAAUUUUACUUUGAGAAAAUUAGAGUGCUUAAAGCAGGCUUUUGCCUUGAAUACUCCAGCAUGGAAUAAUAAUAAAAGAUUUUUAUCUUUUUUUUAUUGGUUCUAAGAUAAAAAUAAUGAUUAAUAGGGACAGUUGGGGGCAUUUGUAUUUAACAGUCAGAGGUGAUAUUCUUAGAUUUGUUAAAGACAAACUAAUGCGAAAGCAUUUGCCAAGGAUGUUUUCAUUAAUCAAGAACGAAAGUUAGGGGAUCGAAGACGAUCAGAUACCGUCGUAGUCUUAACCAUAAACUAUGCCAACUAG
RNAcentral lists this ribosomal RNA (398 nucleotides) under Cryptosporidium felis. RNAcentral's name for it is "partial 18S ribosomal RNA". It matches the Rfam family "Eukaryotic small subunit ribosomal RNA", at positions 636 to 1049 of the family's 1831-position model. Lineage: Eukaryota; Apicomplexa; Conoidasida; Eucoccidiorida; Cryptosporidiidae. The record is from RNAcentral.